Delphinapterus leucas (beluga whale) is the source of this 390-nucleotide non-coding RNA. The record is from RefSeq and is a predicted model, not a curated record. Lineage: Eukaryota; Metazoa; Chordata; Mammalia; Artiodactyla; Monodontidae.
AUUUCAACAUGGGAAACUGAAAUUGAGUAGCAUCCCUUGGAGAAAAGCUGUCCUUUGGUGAAGAAUUAAAAAAUGUACUGACCCCCACCCAUCGCUAAGAGAGUUCUGGGUCCUCAGCUUUCAUUGUUCAGCCAGUGGGCUUUGUGGGCGACACUGCAGGGCCCCUCUUGCUGGAAAUCCUCUGAGCUUCCUGAUUUCCACUCCUGCAUAAACCUCCUCCCCCAUCACUACCUUUGUCUCUUUGGGGGAAAAAAAACCUUUUUCACUCGAGCAAAAUAAAAACUACCCAGUAUUUGUUUCUGGAGUGUAAUUAUAAACUUCAUUGUACAUUCUUCCUGGCUUUGAUGCUUAUCUUGAAGAGUUCAGUGAAAAUAAAUUGUUUUUAUGAAA